Long non-coding RNA from Myotis myotis, 3221 nucleotides. RefSeq lists it as uncharacterized. Lineage: Eukaryota; Metazoa; Chordata; Mammalia; Chiroptera; Vespertilionidae. The transcript is spliced from 2 exons. The record is from RefSeq and is a predicted model, not a curated record.
ACCCUCCGCUCUUUCUGCUCUGCGGGCCGGAUAGAACAGCCGAACGGGCCAUAUCCGGCCUGUGGGCCGUAGUUUGCCCACGGCUGUAUAAUCUCUAUAAACUGAGCUUUCAAAAGCCCAAAGGAUAGAAUAAGAAAGGAGGUCUGCAAGGUUCACUAAGGGGAGACAUCCAGGUACUAAUUGUAUAUCAAGUCAAAAGCAACAUAACUUGUGGGGUGAUAAGCAAUAAUUCCUUUUAGUUGCACGAGGUUUUGACAAGUAUUAUUUUACGUAACUCUUCCAGCCAUGCUGUGUAGAACACAGGAAACAAAGAAAUGCACUUUCCACAGUCACAGCAGGAUGAAAAAUAAGGUUUUUAAAAAAUGUGUAGAGCUGGUAGAUUGCUGGUAUUUCACUAUCUUGAGUAGUUUUUUCUUUAUGACAUCCUGUAGCAUUACUUACUCAUGGCAUCGACCACAGUCCAUGCAAUAAUUACCACCAAGACUCUGGCAAUGAAACAAACUAGCCGUAACUACUGCCUAGUGUGAACUUCAUUAAGUAUGUCCUUAUUUAUGGAUAAAAUUAUAUGAUGUCAGGCUACUAUAGGAAUAAGAAUAAUAUGAAGAUAGGGAGGAAGGAGUGAGUCGUCGUUUAAAUGAAACAACAUUGGCCAUGAGUUGGUAAUUCCUAAAGCUGGGAUUCAUUGUAUUAUUUUGUCAAAAUAUCCCAUCAUAAAGGCUAAAAAUGUCACCAAGCCCCAUAAUUUUAAACAAGUCCUUUCUCCAUGCAUUGCAGAGCAAACACUGUUCAUCGUAUGGUGCUUGGCUCAGUUUCCACCCAGGCUUACCCACUUGCGUUAGCGAUUAGGACAUGUGAAUGUCACUGCUGAGGCACUAAGAGUUUUUUCAGAAGUCAACACUGUUCAGGUAUUUGCUGGGAUUAGACCAUGCUGGAGAGUUGGCCCCAGAAGAGAACAUGACCAGCUGGCAAAUCCUGACCCUUGGCCACAGGGUUAAAAAUAGUGACCUAUGUAUAUUUAUGAUGUCAAAUUAGAUUCGUAGUAGCUUCAAGUUAUAUAAAACAUUUGCUUCAGACACACUGGCCUCAGAAUUCUACAGAUAGACGUUUGAAUCCCCUACUCUGAGUAAUUGAGCCAUGUGACUUUAACGAAGGCACUUAAACAUUGAUAAGGUGAGGGUAAUAAUAUAACCCAAUAUGGGGGUAUUCUGGUGGUCAGAUGAAAUAAAAAUGUAUGAAAUGCCUCACAGAGCUCCCGGCACAGUAAUGCCCUCAACAAAAUGGUAAUUGUCAUGAAUACUAACAAGACUAUGUCCAACUGAACCCACCACGGGCGAGUUUAAGAUCACCACCAGUCUGAGCUGUGUUCUGGGAGGGCUGUCCAUCGUAGAACUCUCUCCUGUCACGAGGUGACUUGGGAAGCCUGAUGGGAAGGUUUGGCUUUGGAGGUAAGGGACCUGCCUUCGCUGAGCCCCGUGUUGCCAGGAACCCUUUAUGUUCCUCCUCUGCUAUGGAGGCAGCUGAGCUGGCUGGUAUAAGAGGCACAAAUCCUUUAAGAUUCUGGUUGUAGACUUCCUAACCGCAGAUUUCAAGGAGCUAAGCUUUUCCCCAGUAUAUGCAAAGCAAUGGUUAUGUGCAUUUUUCUUAGAGAUAAAAGAUGAUUCCUGGCUUUUGUCAAAUUCUCAUAAGUCUUUAUUAAUCUAAAUUGAAGGUUAGGAACCUCUGCUCUUAAUCUGGGUUCAGAAUGUGGACUUGAGAAAUCAAAUGGAAAGAAUAUUUUGAAAUUCCCAACCUGGAGGUAAUUUUUUUUUAAACACAUGUCUCCGUUGUCACUCAUUUGGCAGAGUGAACUUCAUUGUGCAAAUUCUGACAAACUCAGAGGCCUCUCCUGGUUACAUACUAAUUAGUCAGAAAGCAAGAAUCUCAAACGCAUUUUGCUUUGAAAAUACUAACUUUUUAUAAACAAAUCAGAAAAUUGAUUUCUCAAAAGUGUUUAACAGGUAUGAAUUGUGAUUUCCGAGACACAGUUUUGCCAAAGUACUCAAAAUGUCAAGAAACAGUGGUUCUUGGUAUAUGGAAGUGUUUAUCUGUUUCUGCUUUUCCAGUUGCUACUAAAUGGUAUCUAGAAACUACUGGAGGCUGUUACCUUAUCCGUUUAAUUAUAAUUUCAGGAUGUGCAGGACAGGUGUGGGCUUGCAGUAUCCCAGGGCCAAGUUUCCAGCAGGAGAGAUGGAAAGGUAAUAUUAGCUGCUUUAGGUUAGCCCUGUGGGGAAAUUUUUUUUCCUUUGGUAAAUUUUCAUUAAAUAAAUGGCAACAUAACAAAACCUAAAAGAUCCAUUACAGUGUCUUAUUGAAGGUCUCCUGUAGGGGAAACAAUUGGGAAUUCUUUCAGAUAUGAGAACAUUUGAAGUGAGGUUAGGAACUGUUGAGGUGAGAGCAUGUAUGGCCCCUGCUGAAAGGCUGUGGAGCACAGGAGGGAACAGAAGAGGUAGGACAAUGUGGGAAGACUGCUGGCCUGGUCUAGGGCAGCCGCGAUGAAGGGCCAAAGCCCUGUGAGCUGGAGUGAGAUCACCGCCUGUGAGCAUGUGAAGAGCAAAGGCGUGGCCAUGCAGCUGGUUGGCUGUGCUCUGUAGAGGUUUUGUCAAAUUGAGUAGCAGUGUCUACAAGCAGAUUGUAGUGAAACCCUGGACUUGGGAAAACUAACAUGUGUCUGUCCUUCUCCACACACAGAAACCUUCACAGAUCUACUCGUGAUUUUACUGCAAAGUCCUUCCUCUCGUCUUACUCAACAGCAACAAAAGAAAUAGGUCUUGCUUUAAACUACUUGGUUAUAUUUAUCAUUGAAAGCAUGUAUGUUUAGAGCUCAUCUGUUACCACCGUGGCUGGCAAGGCAGAGGUGCUGGAGUGGCAUCCACCAAAGCCAAGAGUCUGGCUUCCAGAGUACUCGCUUCCAGAAGGUGAACAAACGCUGGGGGCCGAACUGCGGAUUUGGCUGGCAGCUGGGAAUACAGUGCGUCCUUCCACGCCUUCUGUUCCAAAAGCAUUUUUACAUAAGCUGACUUCCACCAGGGGCUAAAAAGAGAUCCCCGCAGAACUGAAAGAAUAUUGUUAUUCCUUCCAUAUGGCACGGAUACUGUUAUUCUAAUAUUACCCCAGUCUGAAAGCCCCAGCAGACAUUUUCAUUGUAAUCAGAUGCAAUAAAACAUGGAAAUGAGUGUCUUCCA